This 253-nucleotide ribosomal RNA is filed under the name uncultured bacterium. RNAcentral's name for it is "partial 16S ribosomal RNA". It matches the Rfam family "Bacterial small subunit ribosomal RNA", at positions 524 to 776 of the family's 1533-position model. The record is from RNAcentral.
UACAGAGGUCUCAAGCGUUGUUCGGAUUCAUUGGGCGUAAAGGGUGUGUAGGUGGCGCCGUAAGUCGGGUGUGAAAUUUCGGAGCUUAACUCCGAAACUGCAUUCGAUACUGCGGUGCUUGAGGACUGGAGAGGAGACUGGAAUUUACGGCGUAGCGGUGAAAUGCGUAGAUAUCGUAAGGAAGACCAGUGGCGAAGGCGGGUCUCUGGACAGUUCCUGACGCUGAAGCACGAAGGCCAGGGGAGCAAACGGG